AUUGAACGCUGGCGGCAGGCCUAACACAUGCAAGUCGAGCGGAUGAAGGGAGCUUGCUCCUGGAUUCAGCGGCGGACGGGUGAGUCAUGCCUAGGAAUCUGCCUGGUCGUGGGGGAUAACGUCCGGAAACGGGCGCUAAUACCGCAUACGUCCUGAGGGAGACAGUGGGGGAGCUUGGGACCUCACGCUAUCAGAUGAGCCUAGGUCGGAUUAGCUAGUUGGUGGGGUAAAGGCUUACCAAGGCGACGAUCCGUAACUGGUCUGAGAGGAUGAUCAGUCAGACUGGAACUGAGACACGGUCCAGACUCCUACGGGGGGCAGCAGUCGGGAAUAUUGCGCGAUGGGCGAGAGCCUGAUCCAGGCAUGCCGCGUGUGUGAAGAAGGUCUUCGGAUUGGAAAGCACUGUAAGUUGGGGGGAAGGACAGUAAGUUAAUACCUUGCUGUAUUGACGUUACCAGCAGAAUAAGCACCGGCUAACUUCGUG
RNAcentral lists this ribosomal RNA (484 nucleotides) under uncultured bacterium. Its description in RNAcentral is "partial 16S ribosomal RNA". It matches the Rfam family "Bacterial small subunit ribosomal RNA", at positions 30 to 507 of the family's 1533-position model. The record is from RNAcentral.